GAUGAAGAACGCAGCGAAAUGCGAUACGUAAUGUGAAUUGCAGAUCUCUCAGUGAACCAUCGAAUUUUUGAACGCACAUUGCGCCCGCCAGUAUUCUGGCGGGCAUGCCUGUUCGAGCGUCAUUUCAACCAUCAAGCCCCCGGCUUGUGUUGGGGACCUGCGGCUGCCGCAGGCCCUGAAAUCCAGUGGCGGGCUCGCCGUAGCACCGAGCGUAGUAGCACACUUCUCGCUCCGGUAGCAGCGGCGGGCGCUUGCCGUAAAACCCCCCCUAAAAUCUCAAGGUUGACCUCGGAUCAGGUAGGAAUACCCGCUGAACUUAAGCAUAUCAAUAAGCGGAGGA
Molecule: unclassified non-coding RNA, 340 nt
Filed under: soil metagenome
Description: partial contains 5.8S ribosomal RNA, internal transcribed spacer 2, and large subunit ribosomal RNA
Rfam family: 5.8S ribosomal RNA (bases 1-122)
Source: RNAcentral